GGGCCCAUAGCUCAAUGGCGGAGCAGGGGACUCAUAAUCCCUUGGUUGCAGGUUCGAGUCCUGCUGGGCCCACCA
This 75-nucleotide transfer RNA is filed under the name Eggerthellaceae bacterium. RNAcentral describes it as "tRNA-Ile". It matches the Rfam family "tRNA". From Rfam's summary of the family: Transfer RNA (tRNA) molecules are approximately 80 nucleotides in length. Their secondary structure includes four short double-helical elements and three loops (D, anti-codon, and T loops). RNAcentral also lists the same sequence under 1 other name. Lineage: Bacteria; Bacillati; Actinomycetota; Coriobacteriia; Eggerthellales; Eggerthellaceae. The record is from RNAcentral.